AACGGCUCACCAUGGCGACGAUUGGUAGCCGGACUGAGAGGUUGAACGGCCACAUUGGGACUGAGACACGGCCCAGACUCCUACGGGAGGCAGCAGUGGGGAAUAUUGCACAAUGGAGGAAACUCUGAUGCAGCGACGCCGCGUGAAGGAAGAAGGUCUUCGGAUUGUAAACUUCUGUCGUACGGGACGAUAAUGACGGUACCGUACAAGAAAGCCACGGCUAACUAC
Molecule: ribosomal RNA, 228 nt
Filed under: uncultured bacterium
Lineage: Bacteria
Description: partial 16S ribosomal RNA
Rfam family: Bacterial small subunit ribosomal RNA
Source: RNAcentral